RNAcentral lists this ribosomal RNA (99 nucleotides) under uncultured bacterium. RNAcentral describes it as "partial 16S ribosomal RNA". It matches the Rfam family "Bacterial small subunit ribosomal RNA", at positions 1384 to 1482 of the family's 1533-position model. The record is from RNAcentral.
UACACACCGCCCGUCACACCAUGGGAGUUGGUUCUACCUGAAGACGGUGCGCUAACCGCAAGGAGGCAGCCGGCCACGGUAGGGUCAGUGACUGGGGUG